GAACGCACCUUGCGCCCUUUGGCUAUUCCGAAGGGCAUGCCUGUUUGAGUAUCAUGAACACCUCAACCCUCAUGGUUUACCAUGUGGGCUUGGACUUUGGGGGUCUUGCUGGAUUGUAGUCAGCUCCCCUUAAAUGAAUCAGCUUGCCAGUGUCUGGUGGCAUCACAGGUGUGAUAAUUAUCUACGCUUGUGGUUUUACAUCAGGUAACCUUCAGAGAUGGGGGUUCACUGGGGCUUACAAAAGGUCUCUCCUCGGUGAGGACAGCUCUUUGAAUGUUUGAUCUCAAAUCAGGUAGGACUACCCGCUGAACUUA
Molecule: unclassified non-coding RNA, 314 nt
Filed under: uncultured Thelephoraceae
Lineage: Eukaryota; Fungi; Basidiomycota; Agaricomycetes; Thelephorales; Thelephoraceae
Description: sequence contains 5.8S rRNA gene
Source: RNAcentral